This 30-nucleotide small RNA is filed under the name Bombyx mori (domestic silkworm). RNAcentral describes it as "ovarian small RNA-13380". Lineage: Eukaryota; Metazoa; Arthropoda; Insecta; Lepidoptera; Bombycidae. The record is from RNAcentral.
CAGUUGUCGGUGUAACCUUUCGACAAGGCC